UCAUGAUGAUAUACCAGCUGGCACCAGUCAUAGAGUGACUUGUACUCCCUUCAUUGAUGACUAAAACGCUGUGGUCCACCAGACCAUUCCUGAC
This 94-nucleotide small nucleolar RNA is filed under the name Neonectria ditissima. RNAcentral's name for it is "A. fumigatus snoRNA Afu_190". It matches the Rfam family "A. fumigatus snoRNA Afu_190". Lineage: Eukaryota; Fungi; Ascomycota; Sordariomycetes; Hypocreales; Nectriaceae. The record is from Rfam by way of RNAcentral.